GGCUGAGGUUUAUGAAAGCGAAACAUCUAUAUUACCCACAAAAAAAGAAAAUAAAGAUUUUAAUAAUCAAUGUUUGUUAGCGGAUGCUGAGGUUUAUGGUAGCGAAAUAUCUAUUUUACCCAUAGUAAAAGAAAAUAAAGAUUUUAACAACCAAUGCUUAUUAGCAGAUCAUAUUAUUAAUAAUAUUGGAAGACCAACCAAUGAAAAAGGAAAAAAAGGCUAUAAUGAAAAAGUUCCAUUAGUUGAUGUAUGUAUAUAUUUACGCUUUCCUUUAACUAUUUAUAUUUUUGUAUUUCAUUUUUGGUAACUUUUUUGUAAAG
Hydra vulgaris (swiftwater hydra) is the source of this 320-nucleotide long non-coding RNA. RefSeq lists it as uncharacterized. The record is from RefSeq and is a predicted model, not a curated record. Lineage: Eukaryota; Metazoa; Cnidaria; Hydrozoa; Anthoathecata; Hydridae.